RNAcentral lists this ribosomal RNA (632 nucleotides) under uncultured Cryptococcus. RNAcentral's name for it is "eukaryotic LSU rRNA". The stretch from base 195 to 348 matches the Rfam family "5.8S ribosomal RNA". The record is from RNAcentral. Lineage: Eukaryota; Fungi; Basidiomycota; Tremellomycetes.
UCCGUAGGUGAACCUGCGGAAGGAUCAUUAGUGAAUUGAAUAUGUUAGCGGACCUCUUCGGAGUCCCUAGCAUCAAAUCAUAUCCAUAACACCUGUGAACUGUAAGGCUGUCUUGAAAACGAAAGUGAUUAGAGCGCUUGCCCAUUUUAUACAAACAUUAAAGCAACAAACGUAGUCUUAUUAUAAUCUAAUAAAACUUUCAACAACGGAUCUCUUGGCUCUCGCAUCGAUGAAGAACGCAGCGAAAUGCGAUAAGUAAUGUGAAUUGCAGAAUUCAGUGAAUCAUCGAAUCUUUGAACGCACCUUGCGCUCUUUGGUAUUCCGAAGAGCAUGCCUGUUUGAGUGUCAUGAAAAUAUCAACCUUGACUUGGGUUUAGUGCUCUUGUCUUGGCUUGGAUUUGGCUGUUUGCCGCUCGAAAGAGUCGGCUCAGCUUAAAAGUAUUAGCUGGAUCUGUCUUUGAGACUUGGUUUGACUUGGCGUAAUAAGUUAUUUCGCUGAGGACAAUCUUCGGAUUGGCCGAGUUUCUGGGACGUUUGUCCGCUUUCUAAUACAAGUUCUAGCUUGCUAGACAUGACUUUUUUAUUAUCUGGCCUCAAAUCGGGUAGGACUACCCGCUGAACUUAAGCAUAUC